AGGCCUGGAGCAAGAAGCAGGGUCUGAUCCGUAGCCUCUGUGGCAGCUGUUGAUCAGCCCUUGCCUCUUUCUUUCUCUCCA
Molecule: non-coding RNA, 81 nt
Organism: Myotis lucifugus (little brown bat)
Lineage: Eukaryota; Metazoa; Chordata; Mammalia; Chiroptera; Vespertilionidae
Source: Rfam